Molecule: ribosomal RNA, 253 nt
Filed under: uncultured bacterium
Lineage: Bacteria
Description: partial 16S ribosomal RNA
Rfam family: Bacterial small subunit ribosomal RNA
Source: RNAcentral
UACGUAGGGUGCGAGCGUUAAUCGGAAUUACUGGGCGUAAAGGGCGCGUAGGCGGUUCGCUAAGUUGGAUGUGAAAACUCUGGGCUCAACCCAGAGCCUGCAUCCAAAACUGGCGGGCUAGAGUUCUGGAGGGGGUAGCGGAAUUCCUGGUGUAGCGGUGAAAUGCGUAGAUAUCAGGAGGAACACCGGUGGCGAAGGCGGCUACCUGGACAGAAACUGACGCUGAGGCGCGAAAGCUAGGGGAGCAAACAGG